RNAcentral lists this long non-coding RNA (3960 nucleotides) under Salmo salar (Atlantic salmon). RNAcentral's name for it is "lncRNA (ENSSSAG00000084285.1)". Lineage: Eukaryota; Metazoa; Chordata; Actinopteri; Salmoniformes; Salmonidae. The record is from RNAcentral.
CACGGUUGUAUUCAAACUAAACCAGAUGCAGGAAACAGGACACGGUUGUAUUCAAUCUAAACCAGAUGCAGGAAACAGGACACGGUUGUAUUCAAACUAAACCAGAUGCAGGAAACAGGACACGGUUGUAUUCAAUCUAAACCAGAUGCAGGAAACAGGACACGGUUGUAUUCAAACUAAACCAGAUGCAGGAAACAGGACACGGUUGUAUUCAAACUAAACCAGAUGCAGGAAACAGGACACGGUUGUAUUCAAACUAAACCAGAUGCAGGAAACAGGACACGGUUGUAUUCAAACUAAACCAGAUGCAGGAAACAGGACAUGGUUGUAUUCAUUAGGCACCAAACAGAAGCAAACAGUGAAGGACUACCUGAACUUAUCCAGUAGGAAACACUCAAUUUCAUUACAAAGCAUUUUCUGUUGCAAAACACUUUGCUACGUUUUCCUAGUGUGCACAAAUUAAUAUACCACAGGACAGGGUCAUAUUCACUAGGAAUCAAACAUAAUGAAUACACCACAGGACAGGGUCAUAUUCAUUAGGAAUCAAACAUAAUGAAUACACCACAGGACAGGGUCAUAUUCAUUAGGAAUCAAACAUAAUGAAUACACCACAGGACAGGGUCAUAUUCACUAGGAAUCAAACAUAAUGAAUACACCACAGGACAGGGUCAUAUUCAUUAGGAAUCAAACAGAAUGAAUACACCACAGGACAGGGUCAUAUUCAUUAGGAAUCAAACAUAAUGAAUACACCACAGGACAGGGUCAUAUUCAUUAGGAAUCAAACAUAAUGAAUACACCACAGGACAGGGUCAUAUUCAUUAGGAAUCAAACAUAAUGAAUACACCACAGGACAGGGUCAUAUUCACUAGGAAUCAAACGGAAGCAAACAGGCUGAAACGAGGAGGGACGACCUGAACAUGUCUAAUAAGAAACACUCAUUUUCUGUUGUAAAGCGUUUUGCUAAGGUGUGCUACUAAUGAACACGACCCAGGUGUGUGAAGACGUGAAGGGGGACAUUAGACUGCACUACUUCCAUUAAACACCAGAUGGCGCCACAACAGUUUUACCGUUGGUUGGGGAAAGGGUUGUACAGCGUAGUACACCUAUCAGUAUACACAGCAAUAUAUAUAGCUAUCAGGGUGGAGCUCUAUUUCAAUUCACUAAGUAAACCAAACUCCAAAUGUUCUUUAUUGAAAUGCAUUGAAGACAAUUGGAACUGGAAUGUCAGUGUACAUCCUCAACUGACUGGAAUUUAAAAAGUGAUUUGACCCCAACCCUGGUAACCUCUACAUGAUAGAAAAGUGAUUCAUUUCUGUAACACAGAAUAUUAACAUGAACGUGCUACUGGAUACAUGUAAUGUGUAUUCUGCGUCAUCAUGUCUAGUAGUCCGCAUCUGAACGGUUAUAUUUGGUCUGGAUAAAGGUGUAUUGGAACCAAGGCUGCAGGUGAACUUGAAAAAGUGGUUUCUCAUUCACAACGGAGAAAAGGAUCAAUUUGAAGUUCUAGUCAAAUCAGCUAGAACGAUACAAGGUUGUCCCUUAUUGAAAAACCAAACUUAUUGAAAAACUCAAGGCAAGACAAUGUAGUGAAAAGACUUACUUAACAAACCAAAUAAAAGGGAUCUUUCCUGUCCCUGUCCACAUAGAAGACAACAAAUCAACAGAAAGAAAUAAGCACAAACAUAUAUAUAUAUUAAAUAGAAAACCAGCUCAAGAUGCAAUCACAGACAAUAGUUUAAAAACCAUCCAUUCUUCUGCUGUGGAAAAAAAGGACACUAUAUAUUUUGUAUUUACACUACCUACAACCAGAUGAACUACAACCCAAAUGGAACCCUAUUCCCUAUAUAGUGCACUACUUUUAACCAGAGUCCUGAAUUGCUAACCCUCUGUGGUUAAGGUCUAUAGUAGUGCACUACGUAGAGAAUAGAGUGCCAUUUGGGACACACAUGCCUCUUAAGACACAAACGUGACCUGCAUGUGACCAAGGCUGUCAAGCACAAUAAAACAUUUUUUUGAAACACCUCCUGACCAAAUAAUAUUUUCAGUUGAACAAUAGUGUCUCGAUCCAAAAUGGCACCUUAUUCCUUAUAUAGUGCACUACUUGUUGACCAGAGCUUAACAUUGGUUCGUGGUCAAAAGUAGUGGACAAAUUCAGGAACUGGGUGCCAUUUGGGGUUCAGACAGUUUCUACGAGACCCACUCUGUUCCAUUUCAUCAACAGGGGAAGGUUCCCAGACCCUGAUUAAGGGUUCCUAUUUUGCAAAAAUAUUGCGCAAAAGUACCAUAAACCUCAUUAUAAUCUCGCAGUUUGAUUUAAUUUGAAGCUUUUCUUCAACAAUAUGCGUUAAAAUAGAGGCGAUUGCCUAACUAGAGUUUAGUAAACUGAGUGAUGCAUUAAUAUACCUCUCGUUACACAUUGUUGAAGAAAAGUUUUAAAUGAAAUCCAACUUCCACAUUAUAACAAGUUUUACAGUACAUUUUGCACAAUAAAAAUGUGGCUCUAAUGCUGCUAUUGAUGAGAAUACAUCUCAAUUUAGGAUCCGUGUUCAGACUGAGUUGUUUCUUCUAAAAUCAGACUGGUCAGUUAACUGGUGCUAUCAACACUACAUUCAGUAUUACCUCAAUACACCCUCCUGUUUAAAGAUGUUAUCUAGACACCUAGUAGCGUUGCAGAACUCCGUUAACUUUCUCAAAGUUCCAUGGUAUUUAACAAAUCCUAGUUGGACGAUUCACGUAUUCCGUUGUAAUUCCAGGAAUCGUCCAACCAGGAUUUUGGGAAAGUUAGAGGAAUUCCGUAACCCUAUACACACACUGCUCCUCUUUAAAACAUUACCUAGAAACUGUCUAACUUAACUACACCUCGGUUCAGUCCCAAAUAGCACCAUAUUCCCUAUAUAGUGCACUACAUUUGACUAGACACACACACACACACACACACACACACACACACACACACACACACACACACACACACACACACACACACACACACACACACACACACACACACACACACACACACACACACACAUACAUAUAUUUGGGGUAUUGGGAGAAUCUCACAGAGGGAGGAACUUCUACCAUGUUAUAUUUUUUAAUCUCUUAAUACAAACAGGAAGACAAACAAAUCUAUUGUCAGCUAUGUUAAACAUCUGGAUUUAAACCAGACUGUCUGGUUGUCUACAUGACCAGCAGAAUGACAGACAGCCCUGAAGGGGACAGACAGACAGCAGGGUUUCAGGUCAAAACACAUUUCAGAUCAAAAUUAGGUCAGGAAGGGCACAAUUCAGACUUGAGAUAAAGUUGACUAAACGUGGACUUCAGUAAAACAAAAAAAUGGAUUUACUGUAAGUCUACUUAUCUCAAGUCUGAAUCGGAACACAAAGUGAACUGAAAGUCAAUCUGGGAGGAAUCCUAGUCCUUGAGAUCUCUGUGCACACUUAAAGUAGACUUCCGUGUAGAUCAUACAUUGAUGUCAAUGGAAGAUUUGUGUGAAAAUGUGAGUGCUGAUCUCAACUCGGGAAUCAGAAUUUCAAUGAUUGUAUUGAAAUAAGACAAAUUAUUUUUCUAUGUGGAUUCGGAUUAUUGACAAAUAGAAUUUCAAAUUGUCUGAACUGAAACCAGAGUUGACUUCAACCCUACUGAAUCUCCCCCCGGUCCAGUUGAAACCAGAGUUGACUUCAACCCUACUGAAUCUCACCCCGGUCCAGUUGAAACCAGAGUUGACUUCAACCCUACUGAAUCUCACCCCGGUCUAGUUGAAACCAGAGUUGACUUCAACCCUACUGAAUCUCACCCCGGUCCACACCAUUCCAGUGAAUAAGGUAACACUCAAUCUCUGUAUUUCAAUGCAUUUUCCCACAAUAGUAAAGAAAAGGUGAAUGGCAUCUACAUGUGUUGACCCUCCACUACACCACUGGCUCAGACAGUACAGUGAGGACAGGGCAGCUACUGACAGGG